Molecule: ribosomal RNA, 881 nt
Filed under: Salmonella enterica subsp. enterica serovar Manchester
Lineage: Bacteria; Pseudomonadati; Pseudomonadota; Gammaproteobacteria; Enterobacterales; Enterobacteriaceae
Description: bacterial SSU rRNA
Rfam family: Bacterial small subunit ribosomal RNA
Source: RNAcentral
UAUUUUUUUGUUUUCCUCUGCUCAGAUUGAACGCUGGCGGCAGGCCUAACACAUGCAAGUCGAGCGGUAGCACAGAGAGCUUGCUCUCGGGUGACGAGCGGCGGACGGGUGAGUAAUGUCUGGGAAACUGCCUGAUGGAGGGGGAUAACUACUGGAAACGGUAGCUAAUACCGCAUAAUGUCGCAAGACCAAAGUGGGGGACCUUCGGGCCUCAUGCCAUCAGAUGUGCCCAGAUGGGAUUAGCUAGUAGGUGGGGUAACGGCUCACCUAGGCGACGAUCCCUAGCUGGUCUGAGAGGAUGACCAGCCACACUGGAACUGAGACACGGUCCAGACUCCUACGGGAGGCAGCAGUGGGGAAUAUUGCACAAUGGGCGCAAGCCUGAUGCAGCCAUGCCGCGUGUGUGAAGAAGGCCUUCGGGUUGUAAAGCACUUUCAGCGGGGAGGAAGGCGAUAAGGUUAAUAACCUUGUCGAUUGACGUUACCCGCAGAAGAAGCACCGGCUAACUCCGUGCCAGCAGCCGCGGUAAUACGGAGGGUGCAAGCGUUAAUCGGAAUUACUGGGCGUAAAGCGCACGCAGGCGGUCUGUCAAGUCGGAUGUGAAAUCCCCGGGCUCAACCUGGGAACUGCAUUCGAAACUGGCAGGCUAGAGUCUUGUAGAGGGGGGUAGAAUUCCAGGUGUAGCGGUGAAAUGCGUAGAGAUCUGGAGGAAUACCGGUGGCGAAGGCGGCCCCCUGGACAAAGACUGACGCUCAGGUGCGAAAGCGUGGGGAGCAAACAGGAUUAGAUACCCUGGUAGUCCACGCCGUAAACGAUGUCGAUUUGGAGGUUGUGCCCUUGAGGCGUGGCUUCCGGAGCUAACGCGUAAAUCGACCCGCCUG